RNAcentral lists this ribosomal RNA (433 nucleotides) under uncultured bacterium. Its description in RNAcentral is "partial 16S ribosomal RNA". It matches the Rfam family "Bacterial small subunit ribosomal RNA", at positions 29 to 507 of the family's 1533-position model. The record is from RNAcentral.
AACGAACGCUGGCGGCAUGCCUAACACAUGCCAGUCGAACGAGACCUUCGGGUCUAGUGGCGCACGGGUGCGUAACGCGUGGGAACCUGCCCUUAGGUUCGGAAUAACUCCCCGAAAGGGGUGCUAAUACCGGAUAAUGUCUUCGGACCAAAGAUUUAUCGCCUUUGGAUGGGCCCGCGUUGGAUUAGCUAGAUGGUAGGGUAAAAGCCUACCAAGGCGACGAUCCAUAGCUGGUCUGAGAGGAUGAUCAGCCACACUGGGACUGAGACACGGCCCAGACUCCUACGGGAGGCAGCAGUGGGGAAUAUUGGACAAUGGGCGAAAGCCUGAUCCAGCAAUGCCGCGUGAGUGAUGAAGGCCUUAGGGUUGUAAAGCUCUUUUACCCGGGAUGAUAAUGACAGUACCGGGAGAAUAAGCUCCGGCUAACUCCGUG